This 886-nucleotide long non-coding RNA is filed under the name Phoenix dactylifera (date palm). Its description in RNAcentral is "long non-coding RNA (PDAC_LNC017302)". Lineage: Eukaryota; Viridiplantae; Streptophyta; Magnoliopsida; Arecales; Arecaceae. The record is from RNAcentral.
UCCACCUCUUCCGCAUUCACAGCUUCUCCCAGCGCGUGUGAUCAUCCCGCAGCCGUCCACGGUUCAUCUUCCUUGCAUUCCAACAGAUCCCAGCUCCAAUCCUCCUUCCGUUCGCGAUCAGAUCUCCAUUCCAGCAUCACAGCAGGAUCCUGCGUCCGGGUAUCUCGCGGCCAGCCAGCAUCCGCAUCCCGGAUGAUCGCCUCAUCCCGCGAUCAACGCCUCAAAAGUCCAUCCGGUCCGCUCAUCUUCUUCUGUGCGAGAAGGGAAGGGAGGGAGCUGGAUAUAUCUUGCUCGGCUGGGAAAGAGGUGGGGGAUCCCUCAUUCGAAAAACAGAGCAUCAGCCGUGUGAAAAAAAAAAGAGAGGAAGAAACAGAGCAUGCCCUGUUCUUCCGAAAAGAAAUAAAAAAAAAGAGGGAGAGGCUAAUAUUUUAAUGGAGGGCUGAUAUCUUGUGAAAGGUGAUGGAGGAACCUUUGAUGUCUUAUUUUCUUUCAAGUAAAGUCUGAACAAUUGAUCUCUUUGAUUUACAUCUAUUCAUAUGUUUUUGAUUCUUGCAUGUUUAUUUAUGAGAUAGAUCUUUUAUGGUUUAUAUUUCUUGAUUCAUGGAUUGUUUCGAUGUUUGAUUUGUCGUAGACGUAAUCGGCACGAUAAAUGUUUAGAUCUUGAAUUCAUGUUUUCAAAUUGUAUACUCCAUGAUUGGAACUAUUCUAUCUGAUUGAUCCUUAAUCAAAAAUCGCAGAAUUUAAUUGUUGAAAAUAAUAUCAUCGAGGGGGAUCCCAGAUUCCUACACUAUCUUAAUCUAUCCAAAUUUUAAUUCUCUGUUUACUGAUUUAUUUUCUAUUUGCGAAACAUCAUCUUUAUCCACAAAUUUAUUGAAUUAAUUAAUCU